AGACCGCCCGGGGAGUACGGCCGCAAGGUAAAAAACUCAAAUGAAUUGACGGGGGCCCGCACAAGCGGUGGAGCAUGUGGUUUAAUUCGAUGCAACGCGAAGAACCUUACCUGGUCUUGACAUAUCUAGAAUCCUGCAGAGAUGCGGGAGUGCCUUCGGGAAUUAGAAUACAGGUGCUGCAUGGCUGUCGUCAGCUCGUGUCGUGAGAUGUUGGGUUAAGUCCCGCAACGAGCGCAACCCUUGUCCUUAGUUACCAGCGGGUUAAGCCGGGAACUCUAAGGAUACUGCCAGUGACAAACUGGAGGAAGGCGGGGACGACGUCAAGUCAUCAUGGCCCUUACGACCAGGGCUACACACGUGCUACAAUGGUAGGUACAGAGGGCAGCUACACAGCGAUGUGAUGCGAAUCUCAAAAAGCCUAUCGUAGUCCAGAUUGGAGUCUGCAACUCGACUCCAUGAAGUAGGAAUCGCUAGUAAUCGCGGAUCAGAAUGCCGCGGUGAAUACGUUCCCGGGCCUUGUACACACCGCCCGUCACACCAUGGGAGUUGAUUGCACCAGAAGUGGAUAGCUUAACCUUCGGGAAGGCGUUCACCACGGUGUGGUUGAUGGCGAGUUGAUGUAGAUCAGAUCACGGCAUCAAA
RNAcentral lists this ribosomal RNA (642 nucleotides) under Psychrobacter sp. B-QPyG3. RNAcentral's name for it is "bacterial SSU rRNA". It matches the Rfam family "Bacterial small subunit ribosomal RNA", at positions 866 to 1509 of the family's 1533-position model. Lineage: Bacteria; Pseudomonadati; Pseudomonadota; Gammaproteobacteria; Moraxellales; Moraxellaceae. The record is from RNAcentral.